This 766-nucleotide ribosomal RNA is filed under the name Variovorax sp. 01xTSA28A_F05. Its description in RNAcentral is "bacterial SSU rRNA". It matches the Rfam family "Bacterial small subunit ribosomal RNA", at positions 137 to 899 of the family's 1533-position model. The record is from RNAcentral. Lineage: Bacteria; Pseudomonadati; Pseudomonadota; Betaproteobacteria; Burkholderiales; Comamonadaceae.
UGGGGGAUAACGCAGCGAAAGCUGUGCUAAUACCGCAUAAGAUCUACGGAUGAAAGCAGGGGAUCGCAAGACCUUGCGCGAAUGGAGCGGCCGAUGGCAGAUUAGGUAGUUGGUGAGGUAAAGGCUCACCAAGCCUUCGAUCUGUAGCUGGUCUGAGAGGACGACCAGCCACACUGGGACUGAGACACGGCCCAGACUCCUACGGGAGGCAGCAGUGGGGAAUUUUGGACAAUGGGCGCAAGCCUGAUCCAGCCAUGCCGCGUGCAGGAUGAAGGCCUUCGGGUUGUAAACUGCUUUUGUACGGAACGAAAAGGUUCUUUCUAAUAAAGAGAGCUCAUGACGGUACCGUAAGAAUAAGCACCGGCUAACUACGUGCCAGCAGCCGCGGUAAUACGUAGGGUGCAAGCGUUAAUCGGAAUUACUGGGCGUAAAGCGUGCGCAGGCGGUUAUGUAAGACAGUUGUGAAAUCCCCGGGCUCAACCUGGGAACUGCAUCUGUGACUGCAUAGCUAGAGUACGGUAGAGGGGGAUGGAAUUCCGCGUGUAGCAGUGAAAUGCGUAGAUAUGCGGAGGAACACCGAUGGCGAAGGCAAUCCCCUGGACCUGUACUGACGCUCAUGCACGAAAGCGUGGGGAGCAAACAGGAUUAGAUACCCUGGUAGUCCACGCCCUAAACGAUGUCAACUGGUUGUUGGGUCUUCACUGACUCAGUAACGAAGCUAACGCGUGAAGUUGACCGCCUGGGGAGUACGGCCGCAAGGUUGAAA